GACGAACGCUGGCGGCGUGCUUAACACAUGCAAGUCGAACGGAAAGGCCUGUCCUUCCUUGUGUUGGACGGGUACUCGAGUGGCGAACGGGUGAGUAACACGUGAGUGAUCUGCCCCCAACUUGGGUAUAAGCCUGGGAAACUGGGUCUAAUUCCCGAUAGGACUGCAGGGUGGUGCCUGUGGUGGAACACGAUUUUCUAGUGGUUGGGGAUGAGCUCGCGGCCUAUCAGCUUGUUGGUGGGGUAAUGGCCUACCAAGGCGGCGACGGGUAGCCGGCCUGAGAGGGUGGACGGCCACAUUGGGACUGAGAUACGGCCCAGACUCCGACGGGAGGCAGCAGUGGGGAAUAGUGCACAAUGGGCGGAAGCCUGAUGCAGCGACGCCGCGUGGGGGAUGACGGCCUUCGGGUGGUAAACUCCUUUCGACCGCGAGGAAGCCGCCUGGUUGGAAGGGUGGUGACGGUAGUGGUAGAAGAAGCACCGGCUAACUACGUG
This 494-nucleotide ribosomal RNA is filed under the name uncultured bacterium. RNAcentral describes it as "partial 16S ribosomal RNA". It matches the Rfam family "Bacterial small subunit ribosomal RNA", at positions 28 to 507 of the family's 1533-position model. The record is from RNAcentral.